AUUGAACGCUGGCGGCAUGCCUUACACAUGCAAGUCGAACGGCAGCACGGGUGCUUGCACCUGGUGGCGAGUGGCGAACGGGUGAGUAAUACAUCGGAACGUACCUUAUCGUGGGGGAUAACGCAGCGAAAGCUGUGCUAAUACCGCAUAAGCCCUGAGGGGGAAAGCGGGGGAUCGGAAGACCUCGCGCGAUUAGAGCGGCCGAUGCCUGAUUAGCUUGUUGGUGGGGUAAAAGCCCACCAAGGCGACGAUCAGUAGCUGGGCUGAGAGGACGAUCAGCCACACUGGGACUGAGACACGGCCCAGACUCCUACGGGAGGCAGCAGUGGGGAAUUUUGGACAAUGGGGGCAACCCUGAUCCAGCAAUGCCGCGUGAGUGAAGAAGGCCUUCGGGUUGUAAAGCUCUUUUGUCAGGGAAGAAACACCGGCUCUAACACAGUCCGGGAAUGACGGUACCUGAAGAAUAAGCACCGGCUAACUACGUGCCAGCAGCCGCCGCCG
This 501-nucleotide ribosomal RNA is filed under the name uncultured bacterium. Its description in RNAcentral is "partial 16S ribosomal RNA". It matches the Rfam family "Bacterial small subunit ribosomal RNA", at positions 29 to 523 of the family's 1533-position model. The record is from RNAcentral.